This 111-nucleotide ribosomal RNA is filed under the name Periophthalmus magnuspinnatus. The record is from RNAcentral. Lineage: Eukaryota; Metazoa; Chordata; Actinopteri; Gobiiformes; Gobiidae.
UUAUACGAUUAAAAUGUUGAGAAUGCCUGAUCUUUGUCUGAUCUCAGAAGCUAAGCGGGGUUGGACCUGGUUUGGGUGAGAGACUGCUGGGAAUAACAGGUGUUGUAGUGG